GGGAAGUAGUGUCGCGGAAA
Molecule: small nuclear RNA, 20 nt
Filed under: Arabidopsis thaliana (thale cress)
Lineage: Eukaryota; Viridiplantae; Streptophyta; Magnoliopsida; Brassicales; Brassicaceae
Description: snRNA_11351
Source: RNAcentral